Molecule: long non-coding RNA, 1038 nt
Organism: Zingiber officinale
Lineage: Eukaryota; Viridiplantae; Streptophyta; Magnoliopsida; Zingiberales; Zingiberaceae
Exons: 3
Source: RefSeq, a predicted model, not a curated record
CUUUCCAUCGCCGUUUUCUUCCCCGCCGAGCCCGCGUGCCCUAACCGCUCCCAACCGGCACUACAAAACCGCCGCACGAGUUUAAGCCUUGGCCAAGGGGAAUGCGGACUCAACUUCUCCGUGCCCGAUCCCCCUCUGUUCCUUCUUCUCUUCUCCUUUGCGCGUCGACACCAACCCAGUGCCACCGCCGCUCGACGCGCGCAGCGACGCCAGUCGAUCGCCAACCGCCUCCUCUGUGCUAGCCACCAAGCACCACUUGACCUCUCCCUCUCCUGGUCGCGGUCAACAAGAGCUCACCGGGAGACCAGGCGUCAAGCCGUGCCCUAGGCUCCGCCCUCCUCUCCUCUUUCUUACCUGUGCCCUAGUCUCUAGCUGACGUCUCCUUCUCGUCGGCAGCCUGAGUCCCUUCCACCAGCCGACCUCAGCGUGCCCUAGCUUCCACGCCGACGCCACGAUUGUCGGGCAUCUGCACGAGACCGCCAGCAACACAGCUAGCCAUAACCCCUGUCUUCUUCUCCGGCUGAUCCUCUAUCCAAAGAUCUGGUGUUGGAUCUCUUCCUCUGUUUCGGUUAGAAGCUUCCAGAUGCCUUGUACCGACCAAACAAGCUUGAUCCGGCUAGAAGAAGAGGAUUGAUUUGGGGGUAUGCAUUAGUAACUAAAUCUAAUGCUUGGCUGUGGAUGUAAUGAUUUUGUUUUAGGGCAAUUGCUUCGAAAAUCCACAGCUCCACCUCGCUCCGGUUAGGUUUACUGACAACAAGUUGUCUCCGGCUGUGGAUCACCGGUUGAUCAUUUGGAUUUGGGACUUUGAUUCGAGACGGUGUCUCGACGAGGGAUCUAUUUCGGAUACGAUCCUCUUAUUGGAGGUUGAGACUGUCCAGAGGAGUUCCAGUCGCUAGUUCCCUGCAGGUUGUGAGGAUGUAUUGUUUCGGUCUUUUGGUUUUCUUAUGAUAAUAUCUAAACGAUGUUGUAGACUUGUUCUGGUUUUUGACACUUGGAUACUGUAUGGUCUUGUUUUAUUGUUGAUGAGUUUUAUUUGGA